This 253-nucleotide ribosomal RNA is filed under the name uncultured bacterium. RNAcentral's name for it is "partial 16S ribosomal RNA". It matches the Rfam family "Bacterial small subunit ribosomal RNA", at positions 524 to 776 of the family's 1533-position model. The record is from RNAcentral.
UACGGGGGGGGCAAGCGUUGUUCGGAAUUACUGGGCGUAAAGGGCUCGUAGGUGGCCAACUAAGUCAGACGUGAAAUCCCCAGGCUUAACUUGGGAACUGCGUCUGAUACUGGGAGGCUUGAGUGCGGGAGAGGGAUGUGGAAUUCCAGGUGUAGCGGUGAAAUGCGUAGAUAUCUGGAGGAACACCGGUGGCGAAGGCGGCAUCCUGGACCGACACUGACGCUGAGGCGCGAAAGCUAGGGGAGCAAACGGG